RNAcentral lists this ribosomal RNA (846 nucleotides) under Triticum aestivum (bread wheat). RNAcentral's name for it is "partial small subunit ribosomal RNA". The record is from RNAcentral. Lineage: Eukaryota; Viridiplantae; Streptophyta; Magnoliopsida; Poales; Poaceae.
AUGAAGAAGAUCAAGAGUGGGAAUGAGCUAGUGGAAGAAGUAAAGAAGAUUGAGAAGAACAUAAACGCUGGCAGUACUAUUUCUUCACAGCUUGAGUUGAGUAAUUCUGGAAUUCUCCUUGAUACACGUGAGGUUCCAAUACCGUCACAUCCAGCUGAGCAAGAUAGCAAGUGCCUUGAGCAAGAGAUACCUCAGAUUGAAGAAGAUGAACUAGAAGACAAGGAACAAGAUGAUCAAGAGCUGCAAUUCCCAAGUGAUCAAGUUGAAGACUCGUCAUCUACUACUCCUGAAGAAGUAAAAGAAGCUGUUGUAGAUGAAGAUGAAGAACAUGAGAUUCAUUUGCCUAUUGUCAUACCAGAGCGUGAUGUGUCAGGUUUACCCAAUCCUCUCGAUGAGUUGCGUCCUUAUGAUUCCUUUGCUUCUACCUUGCAUUGCAUGAUGCCAUCUGUUAAAGUAGAUUUGAAAAAGUAUUUGCUUGGAUAUGAUUAUAUAUACCCUGUUAGUGGCAUUACACACAUUAAUGAUGAUCACAGUUACUUUCCUCGUGCUAGACCUAUGCUUAAUGAAACAUAUCAUUCUUAUGCUAGUCUUGAGCUUAAUGAAAAAUAUCAUCCUCAUGUUAGUGUUGACUUUGCUGAUUUCUACCAUCCUAAACAUGUGCUUUAUAGCUAUGCUUAUGUAAUUGGAUAUUCGAUUGAUGACUUGGAGGGUAUUAUCCCUACCACUUGCAUUGUCUCUUUCAUUGAGUGCUCUUUCAGGUUGUUGCUUGUGCACGAUCCACUACAUGCUGAUCAAGUUCGAGAUGACAUUCCCUGGGACCCCGGUGGACCCAUGGCAUGGGGAUGA